This 499-nucleotide ribosomal RNA is filed under the name uncultured bacterium. RNAcentral's name for it is "partial 16S ribosomal RNA". It matches the Rfam family "Bacterial small subunit ribosomal RNA", at positions 28 to 507 of the family's 1533-position model. The record is from RNAcentral.
GAUGAACGCUGGCGGCGUGCCUAAUACAUGCAAGUCGAGCGAACAGACGAGAGUGCUUGCACUCUCUGACGUUAGCGGCGGACGGGUGAGUAACACGUGGGUAACCUACCUAUAAGACUGGGAUAACUUCGGGAAACCGGAGCUAAUACCGGAUAAUAUUUAGCUUCGCAUGAAGCAAUAGUGAAAGACGGUUCUGCUGUCACUUAUAGAUGGACCCGCGGUGUAUUAGCUAGUUGGUGAGGUAACGGCUCACCAAGGCAACGAUACAUAGCCGACCUGAGAGGGUGAUCAGCCACACUGGGACUGAGACACGGCCCAGACUCCUACGGGAGGCAGCAGUAGGGAAUCUUCCGCAAUGGACGAAAGUCUGACGGAGCAGUGCCGCGUGAGUGAAGAAGGUUUUCGGAUCGUAAAACUCUGUUGUAAGGGAAGAACAAGUACGUUAGUAACUGAACGUACCUUGACGGUACCUUACCAGAAAGCCACGGCUAACUACGUG